Molecule: ribosomal RNA, 497 nt
Filed under: uncultured bacterium
Lineage: Bacteria
Description: partial 16S ribosomal RNA
Rfam family: Bacterial small subunit ribosomal RNA
Source: RNAcentral
GAUGAACGCUGGCGGCGUGCCUAAUACAUGCAAGUCGAGCGAACGGACGAGAAGCUUGCAUCUCUGAUGUUAGCGGCGGACGGGUGAGUAACACGUGGAUAACCUACCUAUAAGACUGGGAUAACUUCGGGAAACCGGAGCUAAUACCGGAUGAUAUUUUGAACCGCAUGGUUCAAAAGUGAAAGACGGUCUUGCUGUCACUUAUAGAUGGAUCCGCGCUGCAUUAGCUAGUUGGUAAGGUAACGGCUUACCAAGGCAACGAUGCAUAGCCGACCUGAGAGGGUGAUCGGCCACCCUGGAACUGAGACACGGUCCAGACUCCUACGGGAGGCAGCAGUAGGGAAUCUUCCGCAAUGGGCGAAAGCCUGACGGAGCAACGCCGCGUGAGUGAUGAAGGUCUUCGGAUCGUAAAACUCUGUUAUUAGGGAAGAACAUAUGUGUAAGUAACUGUGCACAUCUUGACGGUACCUAAUCAGAAAGCCACGGCUAACUACGUG